AUUGAACGCUGGCGGCAUGCUUUACACAUGCAAGUCGAACGGUAACAGGCCGCAAGGUGCUGACGAGUGGCGAACGGGUGAGUAAUGCAUCGGAACGUGCCCAGUCGUGGGGGAUAACUACUCGAAAGAGUAGCUAAUACCGCAAACGAUCUAUGGAUGAAAGCGGGGGACCGUAAGGCCUCGCGCGAUUGGAGCGGCCGAUGUCAGAUUAGGUAGUUGGUGGGGUAAAGGCUCACCAAGCCAACGAUCUGUAGCUGGUCUGAGAGGACGACCAGCCACACUGGGACUGAGACACGGCCCAGACUCCUACGGGAGGCAGCAGUGGGGAAUUUUGGACAAUGGGCGCAAGCCUGAUCCAGCAAUGCCGCGUGCAGGAAGAAGGCCUUCGGGUUGUAAACUGCUUUUGUACGGAACGAAACGGCUCUGGUUAAUACCCGGGGCUAAUGACGGUACCGUAAGAAUAAGCACCGGCUAACUACGUG
This 482-nucleotide ribosomal RNA is filed under the name uncultured bacterium. RNAcentral describes it as "partial 16S ribosomal RNA". It matches the Rfam family "Bacterial small subunit ribosomal RNA", at positions 30 to 507 of the family's 1533-position model. The record is from RNAcentral.